GAGAUUGGAUGGGUGGGACUUCAGCUACAAACUUAUUUGAGAUGGCAGGUUCUGCCACAAUUUUGAUUUCUCAGAAGGUCAUUAACCCUCUCUGAGAUUUGUGAUAAUGAAGCCCUUUGUGGGAUUAGCAGGGCUAUUCCUCUUAUUUUCUCAAAUGAAGCUUCAAGAAUUUCCAAGUCAUUGAGUCUCCACUGAAGAGAGCAUCCUUUACAGUUACUGUAUCUUGUAGCCCAGACCAUUUACUAGUCGUAGUGGAGAGAGAUUUUUUCCAAAAUGGUACAAUUCUGCAUCCUAACCAGACAUACCUGGGAUCUGGCUGUCCUGUAACUACAGUUCUACCAUAUCACUUUUAUAUGUCGUAUUCAGCAUUUGAAUGUGGGAUAUACAGAGAGGUAGAAGGAAAUCGAAUUUGUUUCCACAGUGCUUUGCAUGUGUUUAACCCACGGAUUACUGUACCUCUGAUGUGCAUACUUGUUCACUACAGGCCUUUUAUCCCUUCUCCUGUGUCAAGAAACCCUCUUCCUCCAAUACCUGGAAAAAAUGGAUUGGACACCACAAGUGUACCUGUAGUCACUGGCCUAUUCAUCUCAAAGGCUCAACAGGAUAUUGGUUGCAUGGAAGCAGGCAUUGGCCACCAGAACCCAGGAGUAAGAGCCUAGACUUGGCAAAAACACUAACCAUGGUUUUUAUUUCUGCAGACCUUAUAUUCCUGAUAUGGUUCUGUUCCUCAAGCCCUUUUUACUUACCUAAUAAUGAUCUAUCACUUUCAUGAGAGUCUUAAACUUUUAGCUCAUUCAUUCAUUCUACUAGUUGUGCUUUUGUCUGUCCAUUUGCUUAGAUGAAAUUCUCAGAAAGUUCUUAUCUCCAGUAGACUUAUAUGAACUGAUAACUAUGUAAAUAUAAAAAUGAAUCUCAAUAAUAAAAAUAUUAUAUUUUAAGA
This is a non-coding RNA of Monodelphis domestica (gray short-tailed opossum), 940 nucleotides long. The record is from RefSeq and is a predicted model, not a curated record. Lineage: Eukaryota; Metazoa; Chordata; Mammalia; Didelphimorphia; Didelphidae.